GUCAGGAUGGCCGAGCGGUCUAAGGCGCUGCGUUCAGAUCGCAGUCCGGUCUUCCGGGCGUGGGUUCGAAUCCCACUUCUGACA
This 84-nucleotide transfer RNA is filed under the name Dermacentor silvarum. RNAcentral's name for it is "transfer RNA leucine (anticodon CAG)". It matches the Rfam family "tRNA". From Rfam's summary of the family: Transfer RNA (tRNA) molecules are approximately 80 nucleotides in length. Their secondary structure includes four short double-helical elements and three loops (D, anti-codon, and T loops). Lineage: Eukaryota; Metazoa; Arthropoda; Arachnida; Ixodida; Ixodidae. The record is from RNAcentral.